CACUAGUCAGCGAGGGUUCGCCCACUAGUG
RNAcentral lists this non-coding RNA (30 nucleotides) under uncultured marine bacterium HF4000_APKG2098. The record is from Rfam by way of RNAcentral.